RNAcentral lists this ribosomal RNA (599 nucleotides) under uncultured bacterium. RNAcentral describes it as "partial 16S ribosomal RNA". It matches the Rfam family "Bacterial small subunit ribosomal RNA", at positions 897 to 1494 of the family's 1533-position model. The record is from RNAcentral.
AAACUCAAAGGAAUUGACGGGGACCCGCACAAGCGGUGGAUGAUGUGGAUUAGUUCGAUGCAACGCGAAUAACCUUACCUACCCUUGACAUGUACGGAAUUUUGCUGAGAGGUGAAAGUGCCUGAAAGGGAGCCGUAACACAGGUGCUGCAUGGCUGUCGUCAGCUCGUGUCGUGAGAUGUUGGGUUAAGUCCCGCAACGAGCGCAACCCUUGUCAUUAAUUGCCAUCAUUAAGUUGGGCACUUUAANNANNNNGCCGGUGACAAACCGGAGGAAGGCGGGGAUGACGUCAAGUCCUCAUGGCCCUUAUGGGUAGGGCUUCACACGUCAUACAAUGGCCGGUACAGAGGGUAGCCAACCCGCGAGGGGGAGCCAAUCCUAGAAAGCCGGUCGUAGUCCGGAUUGUUCUCUGCAACUCGAGAGCAUGAAGUCGGAAUCGCUAGUAAUCGCGGAUCAGCAUGUCGCGGUGAAUACGUUCCCGGGUCUUGUACACACCGCCCGUCACACCAUGGGAGUGGGUGAUACCAGAAGUAGGCAGUCUNNNNNNGGAGGAGGGCGCUUACCACGGUAUGAUUCAUGANNNNNNNNNGNNCGUAACAA